This 371-nucleotide ribosomal RNA is filed under the name Sphaenorhynchus caramaschii. RNAcentral describes it as "partial 16S ribosomal RNA". It matches the Rfam family "Bacterial large subunit ribosomal RNA", at positions 1994 to 2515 of the family's 2925-position model. The record is from RNAcentral. Lineage: Eukaryota; Metazoa; Chordata; Amphibia; Anura; Hylidae.
GAAUGGCACCACGAAGGUUCUACUGUCUCCUUUUUUUAAUCAGUAAAACUAAUCUUCCCGUGAAGAAGCGGGAAUAAACCUAUAAGACGAGAAGACCCUAUGGAGCUUUAAACUAAAUAUCAAUUGCUUAUUUCUUCCAAUAUUUCAGAAUUAUAUCUCUUAUCUUAGCUUUUUGAUAUUAAGUUUUAGGUUGGGGUGACCGCGGAGUAAAAAAUAACCUCCACAUUGAAAGGUAUACCUUUCCUGAGCANUAAACUACUAUUUUAUGCACCAACAUAUUGACAUCAAUUGACCCAAUAUUUUGAUCAACGAACCAAGUUACCCUAGGGAUAACAGCGCAAUCUACUUCAAGAGCUCCUAUCGACAAGUAG